CGCAUCAUGAAUGCCAUGUGAUGAAUUAGGUUGCUUGCAUUAGAAUUCACGAAUAUGUUGCAUUGCAUAUGUUAAAUGUUGAUGUGGAUGAAUGUUGGAUGAUCCAUAGCCCUCGAUCUAUGAUAUGACGAUAUGAUAUGUACGGUACGGAAAGUAAGACCAGUGGGACCCAUUCUACGUUCGCUGGCACUAUGUAAGGGAAAGACCAGGACCCAUUCUACGUUCUGGCACAGUUGGACACUGUUAUGUUAUGAUAUGUAAGGGAAAGACCAGGACCCAUUCUACGUUCUGGCACAGUUGGACCAUGUAGAGGGCUAUUGGUGACAAGUUCAUCCUUGAUGUGAUUGGUUGUGAUGUGAUGCAUUCCAUGAUUCAUAUGAUUUAAAUGUUUUUAUUAUUCUGCUCACUGGGCUCUAGUAGCUCACCCCUCUCCCAUUUCCCCAGGAUUGCAGGUACAGGGUAGACCAGGAGGUUUACAAGAGUAAUGAAGUCUGGUUUAUGUAAUAGAUAGUGUGGACAUGAUAAAUGUAUUAAUGUUAUGUAAAAGUACAGUUUCAGUCAUGUAAUGAUAUUGAGGA
This 578-nucleotide long non-coding RNA is filed under the name Manihot esculenta (cassava). Its description in RNAcentral is "long non-coding RNA (MESC_LNC001986)". The record is from RNAcentral. Lineage: Eukaryota; Viridiplantae; Streptophyta; Magnoliopsida; Malpighiales; Euphorbiaceae.